Molecule: long non-coding RNA, 17694 nt
Filed under: Malus domestica (apple)
Lineage: Eukaryota; Viridiplantae; Streptophyta; Magnoliopsida; Rosales; Rosaceae
Description: long non-coding RNA (MDOM_LNC012144)
Source: RNAcentral
CCCAAAUACAUCACAAAGCAAAUAUUUCACAAAGAGAAUAAAACUAGUCUAAAUAAAUUCAAAGGCAAUCUACUAGGAUGUCAUCUGAAUGUGAAGGAAAAAAUUCAUGGCCGGAGCUCGUCGGAGCCAAGGGGAAGGAUGCGGAGGCUAUAAUCGAGAGCGAGAAUCGUUUAGUCAAUGCCGUGAUCGUGAAAAAAGGAUCAUUUGUCACUAUGGAUUAUCGAUGUGAUAGAGUUUGGGUUUGGGUCGAUAAAAAUGGAAUUGUCACCCAGAUCCCUAUAAUUGGUUAAUUCAUAUAUGUGAUGUUAUGUGAACAUAGUGUAAUAAGAAGUUGUAUCCAUCUCCAUGCAUCAGUAUUAUAUUGAUAAUAGUAAAUUAUUUCCCUUUCUGCAUCUAUGUUAUAUGGUUCGAUAAAGUUGACAGUUCGUUAUUCUUCUUCUCUGUACCCUUUGUUUUGUUCCACCCUCAAAGCAGUAGCUCAUGGCUUGUUAAGCUCCGAUGUUGACCACUAAUUCCAUUGGUGAGAUUGGUCCAUUCGACGCUGUGAGUAUAUGAAAUAGGUUCGUAGUUGUAGUCAGUUAAAAAUAGACUUACUUUUUGCAGUGCCCGUGAAACUCAAUUUUAAUUUUACUCUGCUAUCCAAAACUUAAUUUGCGUCACUUGAUCCUCCAAAAUUAAUUUUUUUAAUCACUCUGACAUUUUUCAUCAAUUUUGUAAGAAAAAUCCGUGAAGUCUUGGACCUGGCACAAAUGGGCCCCCACAAGGUAGUGUUAUUGCAUCAGUUUUUAUAUACACCGAUUCCCUAAUGUAAGGGAGGGGAUUUAACCUAAGCCCACAUAGGCCACCAUGUUUGAAAUUAGGUAUCGAAUUCACGAGUUGAACUCAAUAUCUUUUACUUAAAAAUAAAGAGAAAUAUCAUUACACCGUAAUGUUAGUGAUAAAAUCCUUACCAUAAGUGAAAUGUACUAGUGGAGUGGGUGUUCGUAAAUUAACAUGAAAUUAACGGAAUUGAAGAUUUUAAUAUUCUAAAAUGACCUUUUUAAUAGCAAGUUAACAGAAUUGACCGCAUUAGCUAAUAGAGUAAGACAUAUGGACCAAAUUGAUCAAAUUGAAAACACGAGGACUAAAUUGAUUGAACAUGUAAAAUGCAUGAACCAUUUUGAUCAUGCAUGGACGUUGAUACGAAUAUAGUAUUAAUAGUGUAGAUAUUGUUUAUACGAUGCCUAUAUGAUAGCUAUAUUACCUAAAUAUAGGCAUUAUUAUUGAUAUAUUUUGGAUACACAUUCUUUUCACGUAAUAUUGUUGAUAAUCACUGUAGAUAGUUGCCAAUAGGGAAUUGUUAUGUCGGCGAUAUGUCGUGGGUAUUUCUCUCAAAUUCUCCUUCGCACCUUCGUCUUUUUCAUCUACAUCUCCAUAGAUUUCUCAAGCACCUCCUAGCUUUCAUUGUCUUCCAUGGUUACCAAUAACGAAUAUCCCUAUCCAAUUUCGGAUUAACAUAAUGUAAAACUAAAAGAUGACAAAGUGAAUUAAUUAGUGAAUCUAGUACAAAUCGAAUCACAUUAAUCAAGACAAAAUUCCUUUUUACAAACUUGCCCCCAUCCAUCUGCUCAACCAAAUAAACACCCAACCUCAACAACCCAAUUCCAGAAAAAAGCAAAAAAUAAAAAAUAAAAAGUCCAGUCAAAGCAAUAAGCUUUAAACCCAAUGAUUUACAUGAGAGACACAAUUGCAAAGAUGAAGAUGAAGAUGAAAAUAGCGUGUAACAAACUCAGUUUCCGUGCCUCCACCAUGAGCAUGAAGUUGAAGUUUCCGUGUAACAAAAAGUCUUUCCAAUGUCUAAAAUUUCUUAUAACAGCAACGAGCUUAAGACUUCCUAUUUCGGCAGCGCCCGGCCGUUCAGUUUUAAAUGCAGCCAAACUCCCUAUAUUUGAUGUCCAAAUUUUGUCAACUAUGUCUAUCAUCAAAGGACGUACGUGUAUCUAACAAACAAGUAUUCAUAAGCGGCAAUAAACUUGACUUCGUCGUUAUUCACAAAUUGCACCUUAAGUUGUCUUUAUUUUUUUACCAAAUAUACUUUCUUUAUUUCAAACCAAAACUUUAUAUUCUUCAUUUUGCUUCCACAUGUUAAGGCCACCGAUCGUGAACCAUAAAAAGACCCUAAAGCGAAUCUUGGAUAUGCCACCGAUCAUUUUGCUUUGGCAUCAAAUAAUUUUAUAAAAUUGUAACGUAUUAGGGUUUAAAAUAUGAAGUUUUAACGAAACAAUCUCGAUACUAUCCACUUUAACAAAAAAUGACAUUUUUACUCUAAAAAGUCACUCAUGUUACGAUUCACUUACAACACAUUUUUGUCAUUUUGAUUAAAACUCAAAGUUUUCAAAUCAUUUUCAUUAAUUUUUUUUUUUUAAAUAUCGAUAUAGUUGGAAAUAUCAAUGUGCAAAUUUCUAAAAAAUAUCGAUGGAAUUAUCGUUAUUGGUUGCCUUCGACGGAAAUUAUGAAAAUUUGUAAUGAGCAAAGCAUAUCAACUCAUUCAGAUUUAAUUGAAACUAGAGAAAUUUUCUCAAAAAAAUUCAAAUGUUCAAAAUCUGCAAUGUGUUUUGGCAACAUUAAUUUUUGUAUGUAUGAAUAGGUAAAUAUCGUCGAGAUUCAUUGAUCUUCCUAUAUUUUGUCGAUAUAGGAUGAAGUUUGCAUUUCACCCAGUUUCCAUAUCGAUCCUUAAAUUUCCGGAUAUUUCAAAGAAAAUACUGACCAUUUCAUGAAUAUUUCAAACUCUGAUAAGUAUACAAAGCAGAGUUUCUAACUAACAUUCAAAUGUAUAGUCAAUAAUGACAACAAACCAUAAGCUAUCCAGUUGUAUAUGCACUUCUAUAAAUAUGCAUCUAUCUCUUCCUCUUCCUUAAGCUAAUACAUCACAAACAAUAUAUCUUACAAGAGAGAUCAGACAAGUACUCAAACGAAAAGCGAGCGAGGAUGGCAUCUGAGCAAUGUGAGGGCAGUGAAGGUAUGUAAUGAACAAGUAUAUGUUUAAUAUAUAGAGUGCGCGCGCGCGCAUGUAAUAGUACAAUUGAUUGCAGUCUAAUUACUUAAUUCAUAUUAAAAUAAUGCAGGUAAGUAUGUAUGGCCUGAGCUGUUGGGAGCCAAGGGUACCGUUGCGAAGGCAACAAUUAAGAGGGAGAAUUCCACUGUCAAGGUUGAGAUCGUGGUAGAAGGAACCAUUGUACCAGCAGAUUUGCGAUGUGUAGCUGAUAGGGUUCGUGUUUGGGUCGAUACAGAUGGCUUUGUUACUAGGGUGCCUAUCAUUGGUUAACUUAAUUAUAUCCAAAUUAUAUAUUGGGUUCUUGUAAUCCUAUGUUUGUACUUUCUCUAAUGCAAAUAAGGAGUCGUAGUAUUCUCCAUGCAUUGAAUUUUUCUUCCGUGUACUCCUAUAUGAAGCUCAAUAUGUAGGAUUCAAGUUGUUUUGGUAUCCUCAUUUGUUUUUCUCUCUGUUCAACUUCAUCAAAGUAUAGAUUAAGAAAAAAUAUUCGGAUAAUCAUGUCAUCCUUACAUGCACACACGCUCCCACAUUGCCAUCGAGUCCUCAAAUCUCGUCGGGACUUUCAACUUGGUUAAAAGAAAAAUAAGACACUUACCAAUUAUUACAACUGAAGAUUUCUCAAACGAACCCAUCUCUUGAUUCUCAAACAAACCAACACGAGUUAGUGAAACUCAAAUUAAAAAGCAAAGUACAAAAUUACGAGCAUGUUUGAAAUUGCUUUUGGAAGAUGUGUUUAAUUAUCUUCAAAUUUGACCGACCCAAUUAAUUUCAAUCAAGUCACGUAGACAUCUCUCAAGUAAUUUUGUCUUCCCUUGAAUCUGAAUGAAUUAUGAACGAUUUAGGUUGGACCUAUGGUUAAUGUAUUGUAGAGCUAAACCCUAAAUAAUUUGGAUCUCUAUAUUUUCUAUAUUUUUUGUGAAUGUAGCUAAAUAAUUUAGUAAUUCAAUAGGUCUUAAAAAUCCAAACAAAUCCUUAAUUAUUUCACCUUCGUAGGAUCAAGCCCUAUAUCGAUAAUCGUGUGGAUAUAUAGCAUGCUGAAUUGAACAAUUAGAUAAUAAAAAAAUGAUGUGAUAUUCACACACCCCAUUUUACUUCUCUCAUACCUUUUUAAUUUUCGACCGUCGGAUCUGAUGAAUUGAAGAAGAUCAACGAACAGAAAUUAUCAAGGGGUGUGUGAGAAGUAAAAUAGGAUGUGUAGAUAGCACAUCCCUAAAAAAAAUCCAGUUGUUUUGCAUGAAAGUGUUUUCCAACCUCAUUAAAACAUAACACUUGGCAAGUGCCAGCUGAAUUAGGUCCAAUAUUUGGGAACCGGAUCCCCUAUGGAUCCAACCAUGCUGAGCCCCCUAAUUAAUGCAUCUGGAUUAUUGAAAUUUGAUUCAACGGUUACAAUUAUUAUAACUUUUAGAAUAGCUCCCUAUUUGUAGUCGUUGAAUCAAAUUUCAAUGAUCCGAAUACAUUGAUUAGUGGGCUCAACAUGAUUGGAUCCGGUUCCGGCCCGUAAUGCAUUCAAAUAUUGCUUUUAUUAAUGACUUAGGUUACCAUAUUAAUGAGGAUUCGACGACUAAACAGUGUCCACCCAUUUAAUCUAGCUUUCAUCCCGUUAGCUUUUAAUAAAACUAAACAAAAUAGUCAAUGAGUAAUACGGUUUAGUUGUAUUUCUCUUCAUUUGUAAGAGACGAAAUAAAAGUACAAAAACUAGCAGCCACCGUGUCACCACCCACACUAAUAUCGGCAGUCCCCGCCGCCAGCAACAUAGUCACCCACGUCAGCGGCUAUCCCUACUCUUACUUGCCGUCGCCAAAAGCCGUCUCCAUCUACACUUUAUAAGUUUUAACGUUGCAGAAGGUUACAAUUAAAUAGCUCAAAGGAUUUUUUGGGCCUUUUAAUGUUAGGUACCAUAACCAUUUACUUCGACUAGGGCUUUGUUUCCAUGGAAUGUACGCACUGGCGCAUGUUUCGGAUAAAUACUAAGAUUACAUUACAUCAACCCUUCCUUUAGAGUGAUGGAUCCGUACUCAAACCCAGAGCUUGUUACGGCGGUACCCUCCUGCUUUUAGGCUUCAUUUCAUUUGUUUAUACAGAGAAAUGACGGUCGAGAAAAAACAUAGAAGAAGUCUGUCAGGCUCUACCGUAUUUCUCAACAUAAACAAAUGCAUUGGAUCCGUGAUAUUCAUAUUUAUGCGAUCUCUUUUCUUUUAUUUCCAGUUGCUAAUUUGUUCUGCACUUGUCUUUUCGUGUAGAGAAUCUAAGUGAGUAGAAAUUUUAAUUAUAAAUUUUAUUUAGAUGUUUUUUGCAUAUGUCCAGACAAGCUGUGUUCGUGUAUAUUUAUGUGUCCAGACUUGCUCAUAUUUUGAUCUUUUAUGAUUUAAUUUUACAGGUUUUGAGUUAUUUCAACUUAUUAAAUCUCUUAAAUAUCAAAAGGUCAAUGCUCCCAAGUGACAUGUUUGAUCCAAGUGGUGGGGAUUUAAUUGCAACUUGGUGUUGGGUUCUUACUGUCUAUAUGAUAUUUGAAGAUAAAAUUAUGGCGGGCUGUACAUGAUACGAUAUUGGGUUUUGACCAUGACGAUUAGUUGGUAGUGUUAUCAAAUGUGAUGACACAUGUAAAUUUAAAAUGUUAUGGGUUUUUUGGCUCUCGGUUGUUCAUGUGCUACUUGCAUUGGUAAUAUGAGCAGUCUUGCUAAUUGAUGCUAGCGAAACUAGGCAUGACAUAAACUAGUAGAAUCAGUGAAUAAAUAUCCAGUUAAAAAGAACUGUUUUUUAGGAUAUUGUGAUUAGUGGUUUGUUGAUUUGCACUCGACUUGAAGAAUUGUUAGGAAAUUCAUCUGAUCCUCGAUUCCCUCUAAAGAACAAGCGUGAAACAAUAGAGAUGCAGUCAAAAAGUACAAAAGUAAACCAAUCACACAACAUGAAUGUACUAGAUUUAUUCAAUAUGAGCAACGUCUGAGGUUUGUUAGCUAAAAGAUAUUCGAUAGGAAAACAGAUACAAGCGCUCAAGUGUUUCCUCACUAUCAUUCAUAGUUAGGGUUUCUAAGUACUUAUAUAAGACUUUAUUUGAGUUAGAUGGAUUAGAAUAGGAAUAAAAUGAGGAAUCAUAUCACAAGUAAGAAUCCAAAAGAACCAAGCUUGGGGCUAAAAGAAUAACUAUGCAUCUGAAUACUCGGCCUAAACUGAUGAAGAAGAAGACAUUAAGGUUUUGGGGGGUUGGGCUAAGGCCUGGUUUGGCACUAAAGUGAUUCUGAAAAAAAAAUGGUAUAAAAAAAAUCUGGGAGCUGUUUUUGUGUUUGGUAAACAUUCAGCUUCAGCUUUUUUUUCAUAGUUUUGGGUGAAAAAAGCAAAAAACAAGAAGUUGCAAAACCCAGCUUUGAAAAACAAGCUUUUUUUCACAUCUGUUUUACAUAAAAGUUUACUAAUCACUAUAAUACUGCUUUUUUUUCUUUUCAAAAGCACUUUUACAAAAAAGUUUACCAAACACUCUGCUGCUUUAUUUCAUAGUUGUUUAUUCUCACAGCAUAGCAGAAGCAGCUUUUUUUUCAAAGCACAGCAAUACCAAACCAGCCCUAAGAGGGGCUAAAGUCUGAGGGGCCUAAAAGCAGCUGUUCACAUUCAAAUGAUGGUGUCACAAAAUCGUUUAGUCAUCUAAUUGUUAUCUAACAAAUAGACGAACUAUGUUCCUCAUUUAAUUACAACAUUAAUCAAAUAGUAACAAUUUUUAAUUUGGUUGAUAUUUUUCUUAGUUCAUCUUUAUAGGGUGAACUAAAAAAUGAAUGAUUUCGAUUAUCAAACAACAUUGCAGGAUGAGUAAAAGAGCCGAGAAGGCUCAUUUGAGAAGAUUGCUAGCAUCCCACUAUUUUUUUGACCUGCAACAAAAUUAAAUUGACUUUUUUUUUUAAGAAAAAUUAAAUUGACUUUGAAUAUAUUGUUGAAUUCAAACAGUUUUGUAUUUGGUAACUACUAUUGACCAAAAUUUUAUCAUUCCUCGUUUUGCAAGUACAUGCAUGCUCAUCCGGAUCGAAAAAGAUAGACUACACAAUCUUGGCGGUACGGUUUGUACACACAUUACGUUUGAAAACAAAUCAUAUUAACGUUCGGCCUACGCAACACCAGAGUCAGUAACAACCAACUACUAUCCAUUAAAUGAUACCAAUAUAAAUGCACAUUUCUUCCCCACCCAAAUGCAUCACAAAGCAAUACUGCACACAGAGAGCAAAACUAGUACUCUAGAUAAAACAAAGGCGAUCUGCUAGGAUGUCAUCUGAAUGUGAAGGGAAGGAUUCAUGGCCUGAGCUCGUCGGAGCCAAGGGGGCAGAGGCGGAGGCAACUGAUAUGAUUUUUUAGAACCUACGGAAAUAGGGUUAAAAUCACAUGAAAUACUUGCAAGAAUACAAGGAUAUUGUAGUAUAGAUGUUCAUGAUAGGUCGUUCUCCUCAAAGGCUAUUUUAAUAAUUUAUGUAAAAAUACUUCCUAAUUAACUGCUUAGAAUUAAAAAUUGAGAAAAGAGAUUUUGGAAUUGGAUAAUAUUAAAAACGAAUUUUAAUUAAAAAUAAAUAUGAUAAAAGAAAAGAGUUUUAAAUACCAAUUUAGAAAAGCACUAGGGUUUCACCAUUACCUAGCAAUCCUAUGAAUUUUUACCAAAUUACUUAUGAUUUUUAUUCCACUUUGAAGGUUAGGUUUUCCUAAUUUAUAUUCUACUUGGAACCUUCAAACAUAGAACGUAUAUCUAACAUGCAAUCCGUUCGGACGUUCGGAUCAAAUCUGAACAUGAAAGACUCAUUAUGCUUUAUGAAAACCCUUUGAAAAACCAUGCAACCCUUAAGACGUGGUGUUCAUCUUAAGUGAAAUUACGUACAAUUAUUAACCACAAGAAGCUAGAGCCAAUUUUAGGGGAACAUUCCGACCAAAAUUGCAUCAAAUUACUUUUCUAAAGAUCCUAAUGGUGGCCAAUCAUCAAGACAAUUAGAUAGUUUAAAACAGUGAUCAAUAAUUCAAAGCGUGCAUGCAAUCAAUCAUAAGCAAUUAAAUAAAAAUUACAUAUUCAUGUUAAGGCUCAAGGCUUCGCCCUAGCAAAACGAAUUAGUUACGCAUAUUCAUAAUUAAAAUCAUAGAAAAUAUCAUUAUAAAGAAAAUGAUUGAAAACACCUUAAAGUAGAAAAACUUCAAGAACCCUAACAAUUCUCUAUGUCUCCAAAGUUGCAUAAAACAAACGUGCCUGACCCUAGCACCGGCCAAACCUUUUAAAAACCCCUCCUAUUCGCGCAAUCCUAAGAGUAAAAUAAAUAUAGACUUUUGUUCCAACUAGGAAACUAAAUAACAAUAAAAUAUCUUAGAAAAUAAAGUUCUAAUUAAACAGAAUCUGCAAGGAAACUGUCAAGCCACGUUUUAGCCUCAAAUCUCCUCCAAAUCUGGCCCAAGAUAGCUUUUUUUUUUUUUAAAGAUAAGAACGUUCUGAACACAUCUCCAGAAGGCCAUGAACCCAUCAGAGGCCAUCUUGGGCUUCAAAAAUGCAAUUCAAGCCGAGAAACGUCACUUUCUAGCACUGCGCACUGCUUCUUUAUUCUAUCGACAUAAAAUAACCGCUUGUUGGAAAAAUCUAAUAUUUGAUAUGACCAAGCUAAGUGACUCACGAACAUCCUCCAAUUAGAAUUACUCCAAAAUUCAUCCAUUUGACUAUGUUUCGCUCCAGAGGAAGUCGAAAAUCCUAUAUUGAAAAUACAAUUCAAAGUAUCAAAAUUCCUCCAAAAUAUUAACCAAAAUAUACUAAGAAUAGGGUUAAGUAUAUAAUAUAAAAUCCACUCAUCAGCAACCAUCGAGAGUAAUAAUCAUUUAGUCAAUGCUGUGAUUGUGAAACAAAGAAUGUUUGUCACUGCAAAUUUUCGAUGUGAUAAGGUUCGAGUUUGGGUCAAUAAACAUGGUAUUGUUACCAGGGUCCCUGUAAUUGGUUAAUUCAUACAUGCAAGGAUAGGUGAAACAAUGAAAUAAGGAGUUGAACUAAUAAUCUCCAUGCAUCAAUUGUAUUGAAAAUAAAAAUUAUAUUUAUGUUUUUCUGUAUGACAUAUAUGUGUGUGUGUGUGUGUGUGUGUGUGUGUGAAGCUAAAUAUAUAGCAAUGGUUUGUUAACGUUGACAGUAUUUAUUUUUGUUCUUCUCUUUACUUCUUGUUUUUGUUCCAACCUCAAAGUAAAAGUGCACUUCCAUUGGUACUGAGAUUGAUACUCACAAUAAAUAUUAAGGUAAAUUACACUUUACCAUCUCAAGUUUUGGUCGAUUUCAAUUCCUUACAACAUCUUUAAAAUAUUUCACUUUCAUACCUUAAGCACUAUUUUAUUUCAAUAUAAUACAUCCGUUACAUUUUCCAUCCAUUGAUUCGUUAAGAGCUGACGUGACUGCCACAUUUGUGCCACGUGGCUGCCAAAUGUGUGCCACGUGGCAAUUUUUUUUUUUUUUAAAAAACUUGAAUCUUCUCAAAAAAAUUAAAAAAAAAUUAAAAAAAAAAGAAAGAAAGAAAGAAAAGAAAACUCAGAACCCACCCCUACCCCCACCUCCCUCGCAACCCCUCCACACCCUUAUUCUCCAUCCCUCUUAUCUCCUCUGCAACUCGCACCCACCUUCUUCCUCUCUCUGCAACUCCAGGGCCUCCAAUCCACCUUCAUCGGCGCCGAGCCCAGCCUCUACCUUGAGCUCUGCUCGGCACCCACUCACCGUUCUCCCCCAUCCGAACCCUGCUCCCCUAACCUGCACUCGUAGCCCCACCGUUCGUGACCCAACCAGGAUGUUCUCGAUCAAUGCGGCCAAGUUGACUCGGACCUCCAUGGAGGGGUGUUGCACAAGAUGAGACAGGUAGGCGACCCAGUCCGGAUCCGACGCCACCACAGCGCAGUCAAACUCAGGGAGUGGGAAUAGAACGAGAAGCGCAAGCGCCUCGUGAGUCAACUCGGACGAUUCGAAAUUGGUAUCGGAGAACACGAGCUCAUGGAGAAUUUCGCGGGAGUUUUGAGUGGGUGGAGUAGGGGGUUGCGGGGGAGGUGGAGGUGGAGAUGGAGAUGGGGUGGGGUUGGAUGGGGUGGAUUUUUGGAUGGGAGGGGAGGUGAAGAGAGUGGAGGAGAGGGAGGUGGUUGGGAUGAGAAGGAGGGAGAAGAGGGGUGCGGAGGGGUUGCGGGGGAGGUGGGGGUGGGUUUUGCGUUUUCUGUAUUUAUUUUUUAUUUUUAGAAGAUUCAAGUCUUUUUAAAAAAAAAUUAAAAAAAUAUUUUUUUACCACGUGGCACACAUUUGGCUGUCAUGUCAGCUGUUAACAGAUCUAUGGAUAGAAAAUGUAACAGAUGUAUUAUAUUGAAAUAAAAUAGUACUUGAGGUAUGAAAGUGAAAUGUUUUAAAGAUGUUGUAAGGAAUUGAAAUCGACUCCAAACUUGAGGUGGUAAAGUGUAAUUUACCCUAAAUAUUAUGACGUCAAAUUUUUGUAUGCACAUGACUGCUUUAGUAAGUUACCAGCUCUACAUUUUUCUUUUAUAAUUUGGAAGACUGCUUCUUUUCCAAAUGAUGAGGCGUUUUGCUGAGCUCUCAAAUCAUCCUUUUUUUUUCGAAUAAUUUUCAAGUUAAUUAUAGGAUGGUGCUAUUCAUACACUAGUGUUUCAUCUUUCACAUACACCUUUUAAUUAUCGACUAUCGGAUCGAAUAAAUUGAAGAUGAUCAAAUGAUAUAAAUUAACUGGAGGAGUGUACAAGGUAAAAAAGGUGUGUGAAUAACAUCACCCUAAUUAUAUACCAAAAUCCUAUAACAGGUUUAGUCAAAUGCAGUUGUAUGGCAAUUGUUUUUAAAUUUGAGAAAAUGCCACUAAUUUAUGAAGAAACAGUUCCCCAAAAUUUAUGAAAAAACAGUUGCCGAUGUCUGGAUUUUCAAAUAAGGGAGUCAUAAUAUCAACCAAAAAAGCUUCAUUGAGCCAUUUCGUCGAACACCCAGUAGGUACCUGUUAAUUCUUACCAACAUAUGCUCAAAGCUUAUGCCGACAACUACUAUUAUUUGUAGAGGCUUGUUGAUGGUGGAUGCAGGAUACUAUGGAGUAUUAUUGAAGACUGCCAAGACUUAUCAACUAAGGUAUAUCAUCGAGCACAUGGUGCUCACAAUAGAAUCGCACACAAGAAGGAGAAAAGGAAGACAAAUAUGAUAGAAGAAAAUAGAAUAAGUAGAAGGCGGAGACUGUAAUUUAGUGUGUCUUAGCUAUUUAUAGUGGUUAAAUACAAUACACAAACAAAUAUACAUGGGUUUUUGAAGUUUUUGGUGUCAAGGACAACCAAUGACCCCAUGCUGGCUCCGCCAUUACGGUGUCACCAAACUUCAACUUAUUUACAAUAUUACCACCGUACUCUAAAUUCAAUAUUAUUACGAUAAUGCCACUGCUUUCUUGUUUUUAUCCUUAUUAUUAAAAGUUCACUAAGUGUUUUCAUUAAAAAUUUGUUGUAUGAAGCCUAUUUCAUUAAAAGGUCAGAAUAACUAUAUUAAAUUUGGGGCACUGUGGGAGUAUCAUAAUGCAGUCGAAGGACAAAAUUUUAAGAAGAGAAUAAGCAUCGAGGAGGGGAGGAGAUUCUUGCAUCCCAAAGUUAAAGAUGCAUUUUGUGAGAGAGCAAGAUAGCUUUCGGCAGAGCCUAGUUUUUAAGGAAAACUAAUGAAAAAUGUUUGAAAACUUUGAGUUUUAACGAUAAGGAGAAAAUAAAGGAUAAAGUGAAUAGUACCAGGAUUGAUUUUUUAGUGUAAAAAUGUGGUUUUUCGUUAAAGUGAAUAGUACCAGGAGUUUUUCGCUAAAGUUCCCUAAUUUUUAUUUAGAAUUGCAAUAAGAAAAACCCUCUCAUCUUCUUAGAGAGAGACAUUUUUGUAUUACGUGAAAAUUCUACGAGUGAAUCAAUUUCUUAUCUUUGAUGCCUCUGCAUUUCUGCAUUGAUCAUAUUGUAUGAGACUGUUUUUCCACGCUUAUCAAUCUACACUACAUUUUAUAAAUCUGCUCAUGAAUUGUUGACUCCAUUCAUCUUACCUCAUAUAGUUUAUUUGAUUAGAGCUACAUUGUUUAUGUAAGUGACACAAAUCUACUUCAUGCAAUCAUAUAUAUUUAGUGUGUAGGUUCUUUUAACUUAAUUGGAUUGAUGUGCUAAUCUGAGAAUAGUAAGUAGAUUUGAAAGAACAAGCUUGGUUGAAGAUAAACGAAGGUAUCUGCCUUCUUCUGCAAGAAAGAGUCGAAAAUUGCACUGCAAAAGAGAGCAGAGCUUCACAGGUACUAGUUGCCACUUCGGAGUAGCAUCACCACCUCAUUUUAUGUCUUUCAUGUAUCAUGCAUCAAUGUACAAGGAAAAUGCUAUAGAGACUACAUUUUUGUACAUUCAUAUACCAUAUGAUGCACUUGCCACAUCAAUUAAUGAAUUUAUUUCAUUGGAUGGUUGAUUGUAUACAUCAUUUGCCACGUAAGAUGGUAUUCUGAGGCAGCAUCAUAUGUGGUCUUCCUAGCAAUAUAUAUAUGGAAUAAAUUGAAGCAAAUUACAAAAUAUAGGGGGUCUGGACGUUGGAAUACAUUACAAAGUAAGCCUUACAAAAAGGGUGUCAAAAUAUGUGUCAAAAACAUGUGUCCCUGGACCGUAACACCCCCCCCCCCCAACAAACACACACAUAUAUAUAUAUUAUUAUCAAUGCAUAAUAAGAAAUGUAAAAAGAUAAAAUCUGAUAUGGCCCCACACACACACACAUAUAUAUUAUUAUCAAUGCAUAAUAAGAAAUGUAAAAAGAUAAAAUCUGAUAUGGGUGGGAUGGGAUUGAACUAAGCUAUGAAAAUGGUUGGAGGCAGCUAAUGCCGUGAGGGAAAAGCUUCCCCAUCUCAAAUUUGGGCUUAUGUUUGGAGAAAGUUUUGGAAGGCACCUACCAGUAUACCACAUAUUAGUCUGAAUAGUCUCACGUUUUUUUGUAUAAUUGAGUGUCAAGAUUGUCUUGAGAUACAUCAAUCAACUUAUGUCAAUGUUUACAUUAGAAUUACAAAUCGCGAAUCGGUAUGAGAAGAAAUGAGUGUGAAAGAAAAAUAGGUAAAGGAUAAACAAUUUUUUCUUGGUUAUCACUUACCUAAUUUUUCAUGUAUGACAAACCUAAAAAGCGGAAAACAUAUGACAAUAUUUUUUUCAUGUUUUGAUUUUUUUUUUAAACAUUGAUAUUAUCUACAUUAAGGGAUUGUAGAUGGGGAGUGGACUAAGUUUUAUAAUAGGCUAACAAUAAUAUGGUUUAAAUUCGUUUUUGGCGAAUAUCGAAUCUAAAACCUCUCACUUAUAAGUGAAAAUAAAUAUCACUAAACUAUAGUACUACAAUUCUUUUUUUUCAUUGAAGUUCAUUUUUUGUAUGUACACUUCUAAUAAUUUGUAGAUUACUGAAUAUAAAUAAAGGAAACAAACUCAAGAUCGAACUAAAAUGAUGAGUUUUGCCCAUCUCUAAGAUUACAUUAGGAAAUGUUGAAUUAUCAUUGUAUUACGAAUUUCACCUUUCUAAUCAAAGGAUUUUAGGUAAGUGGUCAUUUACCAUAGUGGUUGAGAAAUGUUGAGUCCUUACAUGAUGACAUGAGUUCAAACUUCAUCGAUGACUAAUUUAAUAAAUCUAUCAUUUGACAAAAAAAAAUAAAAAAAAUCAAAGGUUUUCAGAACCCGAUCGAUAGGAGACUGUUGGUCAUACUUGGAAUUAAAUAAUUCUGUCACAUGAGCUUUUCCCGCCCGCCACCCUUUUCCAAUUUUAUUACAUGCAUUUCAGACUUUGUCAACACUUAUCAUCUAAAAGUAGGUACAUCGAUCGUACGGAUAAUAAGAUUUCAUGAACGUCAAUUAAACUGACUUUGUUGUUAAUUUAUUAUGUUGACCAAAUGCCAUUCUUGAUUUUCAUACCAAAUAUUAUUUUUCUUCUUCUUCAUCUUUAAAUUUGUCAAAGCGAGUAAAUAUAAUUAUUUGAUUUAGCAUCAUCCGGUCUUUUACUAGUUAAAAAUAAUUUUGGAUUCAAAACUUAUGAACAGUAGUUGAUUAUGUUUUCCCAUUACAUUAAUGAAAGCAAACAACCUACGUAAUUAACAUGCAAAUAGUCAAUUAUAACCAACCACAAGCUAUCGAAUGAUUCACCAUAAAUAUGCAUCGAUCUCUUCCUCAUGCCAAAUACAUCACAAGCAAUAUUUACAAGGACACAGAAAUAUAUUCAUAGAGUGAAGAAAUCUGCAUUUAUUCAAAAUAAAACGCGAAUAUGUCGUCUGAGUGUGAAGGUAACGAACUAGUUCGAUUGUACAAUUUUAUAAAUUAACUUAUCAGCUUGUUGUUUAUUUAGAAGAACUUGUUUAAGCUUAUCACGGCGUUGUUUAAACUAAUGCAGGUAAGGCUUCAUGGCCUGAAUUAUUGGGGACUCAGGGGACAGUUGCAGAGGCAACAAUUGAGAGGGAGAAUCCUUUGGUCGACGCCGUGAUUGUGCUACAAGGAACAAUUGUCACCGAUGACUUCCGGUGUGAUAGGGUUCGUGUUUGGGUCGACACAGACGGAAUUGUUGUCGACGUCCCUGCAAUUGGUUAAUUCAGAAUUCAAGGGCACUUCAGGGGCGACUAGUUCUCUUUUAAAGAAGUGUUUGAAGAAAAUUAUAUGAAAUAAUGGAAUAAGGAGAUCUAUAAAUUCUCCAUGGAUUUAUGCUUUCUUCUCUUCUACGUAUUCUACAUGAAGCUAAAUAAAAUGGUUGCAAAUUAUUUUCUCCUCAGUUCUUAUUUUGGAACCCAAUCUGAAAAACCAUCGGGGAGGCUGAAAAAUUCUAAUAUGAUUAGUGUAUCCUAUAAACCAGAGCAUACUAGAAAUUAGAUUCACCUUCAGAGCACUAAAAGAACAAAUAUAAUAACGCUACUCCACAAUUGAACUCUUUUUCUCCAGGAAAAGUAAGUCCUACUAAAAGCAAAGACCAUGUUCAAACAAGUUUCUACAAAUAUAACAUGACUGCACAUGAGGGGGAAUCUAAACAAAUACCAUAUCGUCAAUCGUCUGAAACUCGAAUAUUAUAACGGCGUGCCAAACGACGAGCAGUUCCAUCAGACAUCACGCUAUCUACCAUUUCAUACUUCUUAUAAUUUGCUUUUAGGGUCUCGUUUUGCAUCUUUGCAAGCUUCUCUUCUUCCUCCAGCUGUUUCUUGAGCAAAAAAGCAGCUUCUGCAGUAUGCCUUCCAUGCAGUUCCUUCAGUUUCUUUGCCACUUCAAAAUUAGGAUCUUCUGGCUCCAACCAAUGACACUCUAUCUGUCUUCCAGGCAUAGCAGGGCGCUCAUCAAACAUGUUGGCCACAGCAGGACGUGCCCUCACAGGCCUUGGCAUCCCCAAAAUCAUGAAAGGGAAUUCCGCUAUCUCCUUGACAAUGACACUGGCUUGCUUCGGAUUUUCCAUCUCGACCAGUGCACAGUGUGGGAUGUUCCUUGAUUCCAAGUAAUUUGGAAUGAACUGAACACUUUUCACGUUCCCAAACUGAGAAAGUGCAGUUCUCAUAACAGAUUCGGUGACCUGGGGUGAGAUGUUAUCAAGGUAAACAGUUCGUUUGACCUUCUCCUCAAAUGCAGCAUACUCAGCUUCUGAAGUCCCCAUAUAAUACAAUGUGUGGAGAUCUAACAAGAAACAAAUUUCACAAAGUGAGACCAAUUUUACAAAUUACGAUUUCAAUCCAAAACAAUUACAAAGUACACUGAGCAUUAGGGGUCCAGACUUUUGUCAAAUAUUAUAAACUCCAGGAAAAAUACUGACAAUAUACAUGUCCCUUGUGAGAAAUCCACAAGGAAUUGAUGAAUAUAAACACAUUAUUAUACUCCAUUGCACCCAAAAACAAGUCUUGGAAAUUGGAAUCAUGCGCAUUACCUUUGAAAAUGACUAGUGAUGUACAGAUUGCAUAGACCACAAGAUAUCCAACCCAAAUGGAAAAUCAAAACAAUCUCGAACAUUAUGAAGAAAUUUCAGAUUUGUAAACAUCUUUCUCUGAAUGUAAUAAAUGGAUUCAUGACAAGUAUCGUCUUAUUGCAAGAAAUCUAAUCUAAUUGCAGAUUUAACUAAUAAUCAUCAUCCUAAACAAUGACACUGAUCUACACAAAUGCUACCCUCUCCAUAGACAUGUUGGAAGAAGUGGUAAUUACCAAUUAAAAAACAUUGCUAGUAAAACUGAUGUUCUGCUUCAAUUCAUUUUAAAACUAAUGCACCACAUGGGUAUAUCGCUAAAGAAUUGCCAACUGCACAAUUCCUUGUCCGGAUAGGUAAAAUGCACACUUCCUACUAUAAAAUUUUACAUUGCUAACAGUUAAUUAAUCAUCUUAAAGGUGUUAAAUUCAUGGUGUCUAACUGAACCAAACCUAUCUAAAUCAGGACAGUUUUGUAGUGUUGCAUCAUAAUUCAUGUUCAAAUAGUCAAGAACAUAAACAGAACAGAUAAAUGUACAUUUUCAAUUUUUCUUCAUCCAAACAAUACGGGGCUGAAGAUCAAUAACUCAGCAAGCAGCAACAACUCAGCAGCAGCAGCAGAAACUUCAAAACCCCUAAAUUGAAACAGAAUUUAGUACAUUUCCUUCUCAGAACAACCCUCUAAAACAGAACUAAAAGCCCCCAAAUUGGAUUCAGAAAAACCCUAAUUUUUCAAACCCUAAAUUCGGUUUGAAAACCUCACAUUCAACAUCUAUAACGCACAUGCAAACACAAAGUGAAGUUUAAACCUCCAAUUUAGAACAAAAAUUAAAAAUCCUAAAUUCGAGUCAUAAAACCCUAACUUUAUGAAACCCUCCAUUCAAAAUUCCAAACAAUAGCAUAGAUAUUAGAAAGAUACACAGAAUAAUUACCUUAGAUUCAGCUUCCAACUCUCUUAUAUAGCCUUCAGAAUUCCGGGUUUGGGGUUUUUAUUUUCGAAUUUUGGGAUUUUUAGCCAGGGAAAGAGGGAAUUGUUGGCCAGGAAAAGAGGGAUUCUGGUUCAGUGAAGGAUUUAGGCGUCGCAGUGGUUCAGGAGCUCGAGGAGAAGGAUUGGGGAGGCCGUCGACGGCGAGAGUCGAGAGAGCGCAGGGAGUAACAGAGUGAGGUGUUAAAAACUGAGGAGAGAUCCUACGGCCAAGAUUUUAAUCUGACUAAAUAGAUAUAUAACGGUAAAACUACAAAGUAAAUAUAUUUUACCACUUCAACUUUAGAACAGUAGAAAUGUCUAUGUGAAUCUUUCCAAUUAGUCAAUCCAUCAUAGUUCACAUGAACGCCACGUCAUCAGUUAACAGAAAAACUAACGGAAAACUUAACGGAGGUACGAAACUGUCUCAAAAUUAAGACUUGAGGUAUGACUCUGGAAUGAAAAAAACUUCAUGUACCAAAUGUUAAAAAUCACGAAACUUUAGAAUAGUAAACAAAGAUUAACCCUUAUAAAUUUGUUGCAAGUCAUACAUCUAUUAGUCAAUCCAUCAAAUACUGAACUAUAUUUUCUUACACGACAAUCAAUUGUACCAUGCAGAUACAAAAUAUAUUAUAAAAUAAACAUUAAAAAUCAAAUAAAUGUUAAAAGUAUAAAAAAUAAAAUAAAUAUGAAAAAAAUAUAUUAUCCUCCCAUCAAUUGACAGUGCACUUAGAAGUGAGUUCGAAAAAUUGAAAACCCUAAAAAACCCUCAGAAGUUGAAGAAAUCGAACCACACAAAAAAGCU